This 89-nucleotide ribosomal RNA is filed under the name Klebsiella pneumoniae. RNAcentral describes it as "partial 23S ribosomal RNA". The stretch from base 1 to 77 matches the Rfam family "Bacterial large subunit ribosomal RNA", at positions 2849 to 2925 of the family's 2925-position model. Lineage: Bacteria; Pseudomonadati; Pseudomonadota; Gammaproteobacteria; Enterobacterales; Enterobacteriaceae. The record is from RNAcentral. RNAcentral also lists the same sequence under 1 other name.
UACGUUGAUAGGCCGGGUGUGUAAGCGCAGCGAUGCGUUGAGCUAACCGGUACUAAUGAACCGUGAGGCUUAACCUUACAACGCCGAAG